AGGGAAGGUCUGAUAAGGUCUAUUUAUGCAACUCAAUCCCUUGGGAUGCCUUCGCUCUCCAGGAGGCUCCCUUGCAGGGGGUUGUGACAGCUGACUCCGCAGAAAGGUCUGCCCGACUCAUCAAAGGUCAGGGUAGAUGAGGCUUUUCCCUGCAGCUGCUAUUUAUUCAGAUGUUCCGACUCGGCAGUUUUUCAGUCAUUCUACUGGGCUGUCAGGCCCUGCCCGGGCCCACCGGCAAACUGACACGAGGUUUCCCUUGCAAACAGCCAGCUCGAUUGCCGCAGACAAGACUCAGGUGGGAACUCUGAGCGGCAUGAAAGUUUCUGUAGUAUGUCCUACCUCGCAUGAUUGGAAGUUGGCGGAGCCAAGAUUUGAACCCAAGCUAUACGCUCAACUUCUCAAUCAUCUCUGAAGUUGUUAGAGUUGAUGAAUUCACGUGGUGUUGGAGGGCGACUGGUCAGUGUAAGAGGAGUUUUGGAGAUGGAUCUGGAUUUUGUCGUAGUAACUAAACUGAUUACAAGACUUCAUGGUCUUCAGGUCCAAUGCUGUUCCCAUCUACUUAGUCUCUGGAAUACUGGGACUGACUCCGUGGACUACUUGGGCUGGGCUGGGUCUUUGGGAGAGCCCUCCAUUGGCUUCGCUGUCACGUGGUGCUCCGGCUGAGGACCUUCCCUCUGGAGCAGGAAGAAGCUUGGGACCGGAGUCAUGCAAUACCAGUUUACUUCGUUUCACCCUCGCUACGCACUGUGACGUCACUGAUCUUCCCAAGCCCCGAAUAGCGUCUCAGACCAUACAUUCGGAUUCCGCCCUGUCCUACAGUACUGUCCUUAGUUCUAUCCUUGUUGGGCUAACCGGAGCGCCCCACUCCUAUUUUUUUGAA
Molecule: long non-coding RNA, 880 nt
Organism: Alexandromys fortis (reed vole)
Lineage: Eukaryota; Metazoa; Chordata; Mammalia; Rodentia; Cricetidae
Exons: 3
Source: RefSeq, a predicted model, not a curated record